This 654-nucleotide small RNA is filed under the name Pongo abelii (Sumatran orangutan). RNAcentral's name for it is "processed transcript". Lineage: Eukaryota; Metazoa; Chordata; Mammalia; Primates; Hominidae. The record is from RNAcentral.
AUUGGUUUCCCAGACUGGGAGUAGGUAGGAGGGUCCUCUGAGUGAAAGCAUGUGAGUCAAUAGCCCGGACGCAAGGUGUCCACAAACGCUGUUCAGCGGAGAGUGCAAGAAAUAGUGCGGUUCACACGGCAGCUGCAGCGAGUCCACCCCAACGUGCUUGCUAAGGCACUGACCCGAGGAAUUCUCCACCAGGACAAGAACCUUGUGGUCAUCAAUAAGCCCUACGGUCUCCCUGUGCAUGGUGGUCCUGGGGUCCAGCUCUGCAUCACUGAUGUACUACCUAUCCUGGCAAAGAUGCUUCAUGGCCACAAGGCAGAGCCCUUGCAUCUGUGCCACCGGCUGGACAAGGAAACCACAGGCGUAAUGGUGUUGGCUUGGGACAAGGACAUGGCACAUCAAGUCCAAGAGUUGUUUAGAACCCGUCAGGUGGUAAAGAAGUACUGGGCCAUCACUGUGCGUGUCCCCAUGCCCUCAGCAGGAGUUGUGGACAUCCCCAUUGUGGAGAAGGAGGCGCAAGGCCAGCAGCAACACCACAAGGUGGGUGAGCAGCCUCCCUGAGGCAUGGGUUGCUGCUCUUCCUUGGGAAUCAUAUCUUGAUUUCUUUGGCUUCAGAUGACAUUGUCCCCAAGCUACCGCAUGGACGAUGGGAAAAUG